RNAcentral lists this ribosomal RNA (374 nucleotides) under uncultured organism. RNAcentral's name for it is "bacterial SSU rRNA". It matches the Rfam family "Bacterial small subunit ribosomal RNA", at positions 526 to 896 of the family's 1533-position model. The record is from RNAcentral.
CGGGGGGAGCAAGCGUUGUUCGGAUUUACUGGGCGUAAAGGGCGGGUGGGCGGCCACUGCAAGUCGGUUGUGAAAUCUCCGGGCUUAACUCGGAAAGGUCAAUCGAUACUGCAGGGCUAGAGUGCAGAAGGGGCAACUGGAAUUCUCGGUGUAGCGGUGAAAUGCGUAGAUAUCGAGAGGAACACCUGCGGCGAAGGCGGGUUGCUGGGCUGACACUGACGCUGAACUGCGAAAGCUAGGGGAGCGAACGGGAUUAGAUACCCCGGUAGUCCUAGCCUUAAACGAUGAAUGCUUGGUGUCUGGGGUUUUAUAGUCCCCGGGUGCCGUCGCUAACGCUUUAAGCAUUCCGCCUGGGGAGUACGGUCGCAAGACUG